GACUUUGAGGAGGAGGAUGAUUUGGGGGAGGAGAUUGAUGAGGAUGUUGAUGACGAGGAUGCUGUUGUGGAGGUGCAUGAUGUACCAAGUAGUGAUGAGGAGGAAGAUGGCGUUGAAGAGGAGGAAGAUGAUGAAGAGGAGGAUGAAGAUGAUGAAGAGGAGGAGGAGGUUGAGGAUGAAGGUGAAGAGACAGAGCCACAAAUCAGUGCUAGGGUUGCCAUGAUGACAGGGGAGGAUGGAGGAGAAG
This 247-nucleotide long non-coding RNA is filed under the name Sorghum bicolor (sorghum). RNAcentral describes it as "long non-coding RNA (SBIC_LNC003873)". Lineage: Eukaryota; Viridiplantae; Streptophyta; Magnoliopsida; Poales; Poaceae. The record is from RNAcentral.